Molecule: long non-coding RNA, 6752 nt
Filed under: Gossypium barbadense (sea-island cotton)
Lineage: Eukaryota; Viridiplantae; Streptophyta; Magnoliopsida; Malvales; Malvaceae
Description: long non-coding RNA (GBAR_LNC012287)
Source: RNAcentral
UUGGAGCAACCACUCAAUGGUUUCACCAUCUGAUUUGUGACCAAGCUCCCUUGUUAGCUGGAAAACCCUAGCAGCACACGUAGCCGGCAUGCGGAUGCGACGGCCUCGUCCUUCCACUUUGGUGUGCCGGUCCUUGGUUGAAGUCCUCUUAGGUGGAGGUUUCUUGGAGGGAGGUUCCAAGGUUGGUUUGGAGCUGGUGUCGACGUCGGCAGGGUCGGAACGAGGUUGUUCCUUCUUUUCUAGGAGCUGAAGAGGGAAGUUCGGCCUGCGGAUCCCAUUUUCAUCCAUGAUCAUGUAUGAGAGAGUGGGAUUAUAUCUUUUUGGUGGUUUGGCUCUCCUAGCACAUGAUCUGAAGGUGACCCUCAAUUCGGUGACUUUGAUGGCCUAGUGGGUCUCUUUCUUUUUAGCUAUAUGAUGUUGUGUUGUGUAGCUUGGAAUUCCCUUUAGAUGGGGAAGAUUGAAGCUGCCGAGUUGGUUUUCUUAUCUCUGCACAGACCAAAGAGAGAGAGGGGAUAAGGGGAAGGGGGCAAGCUUUAAGCAACAAAUACAAUGAGUGAGAAUUAUGAGGGUGGGCUAAGAAAGAAAAGCAAAGACUUUUUUGGAUGGGAAAUAAUUCGUUGAAUUGAGGACCUCUUUGUAAUUUUCUCUUUUCUAUAUUGUGAAAAUAAAAUGAGAUAACCCUAAAUAUAGAGAGAGAUCAUAUAAUUGUGGUUGGAUAGUCCCUUGAUUCAAACUCCACGUGCGGUGCUCUUUAAUCAUUCAAUCCAUAAAGACAGUGGUGGGCCCCUCGUUCCUUUACUCUGAAAAACUCAAUCACUCGUUAAAAAUAUACAAAUUAUUUAGAUAUAAUAAAGUGGUCCCCAUUCCAUUCUUGUAAUCAUUGCCUUCUGCCUUUGAUCUUAAUUUUAAAACAAAAGUUUACCUCUAAAUAAUUCCAUUACUUGUAAUACAUCUAUGAUGCAUGUGAACAUGGUUUUAUAUCAAAUCAUCGAUUAAGUUUGAUUUUUCUUAAUUGGAGAAAUCUUAAAAACUCAUUUCCUUAAAAAAAAUUUCUUUCCAAGAGGAAAAUCCGUUUAUUGGGGAUGAGAGUGAAGGAUACUUGAUGAAAAAUCUUUCAGUAGAUCUCUGAGUCAAGACCCAACACUUUUCAGGUCUCCAUCUUUGAACAUGUGAGCCAUACAGUCUGCAAUAUUAUAUAUAUAUAUAUGUGGUCCUUGAAAGUAUUGUUUAAAAAGCUUAUAUACCCAAAAUAUGCCUUUUAUUCCAUUUUUCCAUUAAAGGCUUUCAUCUCUAUCUAUUUUGAAGUUUUGUAGGAGCAGGGGUACAUUUCAUAAGAUCAAUAGUCCUAAAUCUUCCGACCAAUUGAACGUUGUGCAUGAGGAAUGUGGUGUUGGAUAAGGUGAAAGAAUAUAAACUUUUCUUUUAUGCCAAAUUUUGUUGGGACAUAAUAGUAAAAAGUUUGAUGUUACUAAAGUAAUGGGAAAUCAUUCGGAUAACAUAGAUAAAUAUAAUGUAAUUAUACAUUGUUAAUCAAACACGUCUAAAGAAUUAGAAUUCUUUGUAAUUAUAAGAGGAUGAAAUUACUAGUUUAGUAACUAUAGCUUUAUCCAAUUAUUUUGUGGUGUCCAAACACACUCUACCUAAAAAAAACUGGCUAAAAAAAUUAACCUAAAACUUUUAUUCAAUAAAUUAUCAUUUUAGUCCCUCUAGUAUGUUCAAACUUUAAAUUUAAUCAUUACACUUUAAUUUGGCGUAGAAGAGGAGUUCGAGUCUUAAUAUCUAAAAUCUCUUCUUCUUUUUUUCGAGCAGUCAAUAUAUCUACUCAUACUAGUGUAAAACUCAACUAAUUUUACGUACUUAUGUAAAUUUUUGUACGAUUAUUAUUUUUAUAAUUCAACUAUAAGCUAUUAUUGAUGAAUAAAACAACUUGAAUUAUACCAUAUGUGUAUAUGUAUACAUAUAGUACAUAAGAAAGACCCACCAGCAAAGAGGAAUGAGAGAGAAAGCAUAGCACGUCUAACCCAUGUGCCUAACAGGCCAAAGUGUAGCUUAAAAGGGAACAAAAACAAGCACAUUGCCUAAAAUAUAGCGACUUCCAAAAUCUAUUUCAACAACCAACAUACCUAACUAUCUCAUAAUUCGAUUUUCUUUUCCCCAUCUUCUCUAAUCAUUUUUUUCCCUCUAAAUCUCCACUAAUCACCCUUCUUCCUCUUGAUUAUGACCCUUCCUUAAUAUGUCACCUUUCUUGCUUUAACUUUUUCAUUUCUUUUUUGUUUUACUAAAUCUUUGUGAUUUUGAAGAAAAAAAAACCCAGUACAUUGUCAUUUCAAGUUCCCUACACCUUAACAUGCAUGUAACAAAACAAUGGUGUGUGCGCAGACAGUGGCAUUUGCCUCUUUGGAUAUAUGGUUUAAUUCUUUUUGUAGUCCUCUUAAAUUUUAAUUAGUUUUAGCUUUUAUGUUAAAUGAAUAAUUUUUAGCCUUCUUAGAUAUUAAUAAUUCAAAUUUUUAGCUUUAUCUUCCGAAAUUUUUAAUUUUAUCCUAAUCAUAGAGCACAAUGAUUCUCCAAAUGAAACCAAUAAUGUCGAAGUUGUCCUGAUGAAGUACUGUUUAUUAUAAAGGAACACCACAUAGAAGAAAUACCUUUAUCUGAAACUUUACAAACGUUAUUAGGCAAAUCAUGGGUUCCUAUAUGUUAUAACAUUAUCUCCAUGUAAGUAAUAAUAAGAGUUGAGAGUGUAUGGACAAGGGAAGUUGUAUAAAUUCUAUUCAAUAUUACCUUUUUAAAAAUAAUUAAAAAUUAAUAUUUUUUGGGAAGCCGAUUAUAAAAAUAAAUAAAGGGUAUCAUAUGCAAUAUAUCUCACCAAACAAAUAUUAUAUUAAAUCGUUUUAUCUUUUCAUUCAUCAAAAUUAUUGAUAUUAUUACUAUUUUUCACGUCUAAAAAUAAAUUUGAAGUAAGUUUGAUGCAAGCAAUUUUAGCAUUAACUCUUGGACCAAUAAUAGUGGGAUUUGGACCACAGCAGUGAUGUACUAUUUUAUGGUUGGUGCAUGGUACAAAAACAUGCCAUCAUCUUCAUUUCAAUACAAAAGUGUUUUUUAUUUUUAUUUGGGUAAUAGAAGAAAUCCUAUGUGGGUGUUCCUCUUCCGCUUAAACAAAGAGUUUCUAUUUAUACUUUUGAUUUAAAAUUAUUAAUUUUUUUUUAGUUUCUCUUAAAUCAAAUUUUAGCUAAAUUCCUCUCUCGUAAACAAAACAAAAUUUAUAAAUAUAUGAGUGGAAAAUAGUCCCCCAUUGGGGAAGAGAUCACGUGCCUUGCCAUCUUUUGCCGGUGAUGCUGAUGGCUUACCCUCCAUUUUUGUGUUUAAUUAUUUAACCCGAAUGUUAGUUGUAAAUCACCCCCUUAAUUUCUUCCCUUUUUGGGUCAAGCUGGCCGCUCUCUUUCUUUGAAUUUCAUUAACAACAAUCGGAUAAGAUGUUACCCUUUUUUUCAUAUCCCUUUUAAAAUUUGUUCAUAAAUGAGAAUAUUUCAGAAUUUUUUGAAAUUUUAUAUUUUAUUUUAUUAGUCUCAUCAUUUGUUUGGUUUACUUUUUUUUUUUUAAAUUGAUGAAUAAAAAUAAUUUGUUUAGUAAUGUUUUUGUUGUGCAAAUUAAGUUUUAAUUUGAUUGGUAUUGAUAUUGUUGUCAGAGAAUGUGGGUUCAAGUACGCUCAAGCGCAUUAUCCUCCUAUUUAAGGGUUGGAGAGAUGCUAUGAUUAAUUCUAGACAUUAUAUCAAAAAUAAUAGAUAUUAUAAGAAUUUAUAAUAAGAUUAAUGUUAAAAAAAUAAUAUUAUUAUUUUUGCUAAAAAAACUGUGUUUGAGUAGUAGAAAGUAAUGUUAACAAACCUUAAAUGACAAAUGAAUAUAGUUAUUAAAUGUGAUUAUAACUUUUUGUAUAAUUUGUAAUGUAUUUGAAAUUUUAUAGUAAAAAAUAUUAAGAAAAAUAGCAGUGAGAAAUCUUAGGUGGAUGAAUAGAAGCAUAGUAAUAAAAGAGAUUACCAUUCUAAUACGGAAACAAAAUUAGAAGGAAUCAUUGCUUGGCUUCCUCCCAAAUAUAUAAACUUUGAUUUCUUUGGGAUAACUUAAUAUUUAUUCCAUGAAUUUGUACUUUUUUUUUAGUUCUUGAAUCUCUUUCAUCCAUAAAUAGUUUUAGAAUUUGGUAGUUUUUUUCUAAUUUGAUUCACAAACUUAGCUUCCAUUAAUUAUGAUGAUGUAAUACUCUUAUAUUUGUGUUAAACUAUCACUUAAAAAUUUAAAAAGUUAUAUUAUAUCUAAAAAGUAUUAAAUUUAUAACAUAUUUAAUUCUUUUUUUUAAAAAAUCAAGUGAUAACAUAGUACAAUCUUAAAGUGUUACGUUAUCAUGUCUUCACAAAAUCUAAGUGCAUGGUCCAAAUUGAGAAAGGUACAAAGUUUCAAGACUAAUGUGGACUAAAGAUGUUACAAUUUUUUUCAACUUGGUCCUGAACUUCUUUUGUCCACACUCCACAAUAGUCCAGGAAUUUAGUAACUUUUCCUAAUUUAGCCCAUGAACUUGGAUUCUGUUAAGUACAAUAAUAUAAUACUUUGAAAUUGUACUAAACUAUCACUUAAUCUCAAAGUGACACAUCAUUAUAUUUUAGCUAAAUCCAAAUGCAGGGACCAAAUUAAAAAAGCUGCAAAAUUUUAAUACUAAUAUAGACUUUAAAAAAUUGAAAAGGAGCAAGAUAGGAAAAAAAUUCCAAUCCAACAACUAAAUGUUACUUUAUCUGAAUUAAUAAAACAAUUGAUUUAAAAAAUUGACAGAUUAACUGUUUGGGAAGAAAAAAGCUGGCUAAAGCCAAUAAAGAAAAUUCCAUCAUCACUUUCUAUAUCCAUGGCCGAAUGAAAGAAGAAGAGUGGGUCAUUUUCUCUUUUAAGACUUUUUCCUAUGACUUCUCUACCUUAUACUCUUUUUUUCUUUUGUUAAUAUAAAUUUCUUUUUUUAAAAAAAAAAACCUUUUGAAAAGCCUUCGAAAUUGACUCUAAAAAUUUUGUGUCCAAAAAUGCAAUGGCCAAGUCAAGCAAAUAUAUAGAGAAGAAAAUUCAAAUGCAAAUAAAUGUUAGGCCAAAUUGAGUAGAAUAUUUUGUACAACAAAAAUUUUGAUUUAGAAAACAACUUUAAGACCUACUUGGUGCUGCUGUUGGCUAAUAAAAUGCCAACUCGACAUGUUUGAGUCGGAUUGAAUUUAUGUAUAUUAUUAAUUUAUACUAUUAUUUUAGUUUAUAAUUAAUUUGUACGAGUCAAUCGAGCAUCAACUUAAUUAGGAUAAAUAUAAAAAUAUUUUUUCGUAAUUAAAAUAAAUUAUAUUAUCUAAAAGUAUUUUAUUCUUUUUAUUUUAACAAAAACUAAUAAAAAGAAUAAAGCAUGAUGAAAGCCAUACACUUGUUGAACACUAGCAAGUUGAAUCAUGCCUAUUUUCUCCACCGUGGUGUUGAUGUGAUCCUCCGCCCGGGGGCUCAGAAAUAACAAUACCCGGAACUGGUCUAUAAGCGUUUAGUGAAGCCGGCAUGCUUGAAUGAGUGUCGGUAACUGAGCCACCGCCGGCACCUAUUCCCAAACCAAAUUGUUGGGCAGGGAGGAGAGCCAUUGGAGCGGCUAAAUUCAUAAAAUGCACCCCACUAGACAUAGUACCCCUAUACAUAUUAGUGUUAUUAGUUGAAGGCAAUGUCCACAUGGGAUCCCCAGUGCCACUCCCACUGAUGACUUGGUUGCCUAUCCAAAAUGUCGCCGGGAUCGGAUUAUGACUCGUCGGAAUCGAACCCGUAUUAGAUUGUAUCAAGUAACUUCCCACCUGAUUUUGUGGCGUUUCUUGCUGCUCAGGCCUCCUCCUCUUCCCUAUACUAGUAUCCGCGGCCUCGCCGUCCCGAAUCUCUUGCUUAGCUUGCAAGAAAGCGUUCAAAGUAGUGCUACUAGUACCAGGAAAGGUCAAUGAAUCUUCAGAUGAUAAAGCAACACCAGGAAAUAAAACCCUUCGUUGUUGUUGUUGUUGCUGUUGAGAUGAAUCGUCAAGGACAUUCCUUUGAUCCAAUUCACUCCUCGUCCUCAAUUGUUGUGUGGUAAAAUUUGGAUUGAAAUAAGUGUUCCUCAAGUGUGAAGCCGACAUGCUAGAACCUGAACUUCUUAGUGAAAUAUUAAGGGACGUGAAAUUUGCAGGGAUAGUACCUGUCCCCGUGGCAGCAAUAACCGCGGGCUCAGCUUGUUGGAGCAACCACUCAAUGGUUUCACCAUCUGAUUUGAGACCAAGCUCCCUUGUUAGCUGGAAAACCCUAGCAGCACACGUGGCCGGCAUGCGGAUGCGACGGCCUCGUCCUUCCACUUUGGUGUGCCGGUCCUUGGUUGAAGUCCUCUUAGGUGGAGGUUUCUUGGAGGGAGAUUCCAAGGUUGGUUUGGAGCUGGUGUCGACGUCGGCAGGGUCGAAACGAGGUUGUUCCUUCUUUUCUAGGAGCUGAAGAGGGAAGUUCGGCCUGCGGAUCCCAUUUUCAUCCAUGAUCAUGUAUGAGAGAGUGGGAUUAUAUCUUUUUGGUGGUUUGGCUCUCCUAGCACAUGAUCUGAAGGUGACCCUCAAUUCGAUGACUUUGAUGGCCUAGUGGGUCUCUUUCUUUUUUGCUAUAUGAUGUUGUGUUGUGUAGCUUGGAAUUCCCUUUAGAUGGGGAAGAUUGAAGCUGCUGAGUUGGUUUUCUUAUCUCUUCACAGACCAAAG